GGAGUUAGAACUUAUUUAC
RNAcentral lists this small nuclear RNA (19 nucleotides) under Arabidopsis thaliana (thale cress). Its description in RNAcentral is "snRNA_16259". Lineage: Eukaryota; Viridiplantae; Streptophyta; Magnoliopsida; Brassicales; Brassicaceae. The record is from RNAcentral.